CGAUUAAGUUAUAAAGGGCGCACGGCGAAUGCCUUGGCAUCAGGAGCCGAAGAAGGACGUGAUAAGCUGCGAUAAGCUUUGGGUAGCCGCAAAUAGGCAGAGAUCCAAAGAUUUCCGAAUGAGGAAACUCACAUGGGAAACCCCAUGUAUCCUGUAAUGAAUAAAUAGUUGCAGGAAGGUAAACCCAGGGAACUGAAACAUCUAAGUACCUGGAGGAAGAGAAAGAAACAUCGAUUCUCUAAGUAGCGGCGA
RNAcentral lists this ribosomal RNA (252 nucleotides) under Clostridium cadaveris. RNAcentral describes it as "partial 23S ribosomal RNA". It matches the Rfam family "Bacterial large subunit ribosomal RNA", at positions 1 to 252 of the family's 2925-position model. The record is from RNAcentral. Lineage: Bacteria; Bacillati; Bacillota; Clostridia; Eubacteriales; Clostridiaceae.